CUCACGUGCCCAAGGAACACAGAAGGAAAGGUUUCAAAGUUCAUCGUGAAGGUUUCUGCUUCCCUCCCAGCAGCCACGCGCAUGAAAGCUAAAAGCAGACAGCCAUCACAGUUACAUAUUCCAGAUGACCUAUGAAGAACCCUAAGAAAAAAGCAAGAGGAAAUAUUUUGCUCAGUGGAGCCACUUAGGACAUCUUCAGCACCAGUGCUUCCUGGAAGAUUUGGAC
This 226-nucleotide long non-coding RNA is filed under the name Gallus gallus (chicken). The record is from RNAcentral. Lineage: Eukaryota; Metazoa; Chordata; Aves; Galliformes; Phasianidae.